AUUGAACGCUGGCGGAAUGCUUUACACAUGCAAGUCGAACGGCAGCACGGGUGCUUGCACCUGGUGGCGAGUGGCGAACGGGUGAGUAAUGCACCGGAACGUAUCCAAUAAUGGGGGAUAACGCACCGAAAGGUGUGCUAAUACCGCAUACGCCCUGAGGGGGAAAGCGGGGGAUCGUAAGACCUCGCGUUAAUGGAGCGGCCGAUGCCGGAUUAGCUAGUUGGUGAGGUAAAGGCUCACCAAGGCGACGAUCCGUAGCCGGUCUGAGAGGACGACCAGCCACACUGGAACUGAGACACGGUCCAGACUCCUACGGGAGGCAGCAGUGGGAAUUUUGGACAAUGGGCGCAAGCCUGAUCCAGCCAUUCCGCGUGAGUGAAGAAGGCCUUC
This 390-nucleotide ribosomal RNA is filed under the name uncultured bacterium. Its description in RNAcentral is "bacterial SSU rRNA". It matches the Rfam family "Bacterial small subunit ribosomal RNA", at positions 30 to 419 of the family's 1533-position model. The record is from RNAcentral.